This 497-nucleotide ribosomal RNA is filed under the name uncultured bacterium. RNAcentral's name for it is "partial 16S ribosomal RNA". It matches the Rfam family "Bacterial small subunit ribosomal RNA", at positions 28 to 507 of the family's 1533-position model. The record is from RNAcentral.
GAUGAACGCUGGCGGCGUGCUUAACACAUGCAAGUCGAGCGAAGAGAUGCGGAUCUCGCGCCGCUGACGUUACCGACGGGUGAGUGACUCACACGUGGCUUACCCUCAUCUAUGACUUAGAUAACUGCGACAAACCGUAGUAAAUACCGGAUACGAUCACCACCCGCAUGGUGCUGUAGUGAUAUACGGUUUUUCUGUGACCUCUCGACGUAUCCGCGCCGCAUUGGCUUGUUGGUAGGGUAACGGCUUACCAAGGCAACGAUGCGUAGCCGACGUGAGAGGGUGAUCGCCCACACGGGAACGGGAACGCGGUCCAGAGUCCUGCGGGAGGCAGCAGUAGGGAAUCUUACGCAAUGGGCGAAAGCAUGACGGAGCGACGCCGCGUGAGUGAUGGAGGUCUUCGGAUCGUAAAAAUCGGUUAUUAGGGGUAAACAAAUGUGUAAGGAAAUGAGGACAACGUGACGGUACCUAAUCAGGAAGCCCCGGCUAACUACGUG